CGGGCUAUGGCGCAGUCUGGUAGCGCGCACGUCUGGGGGACGUGAGGUCGCUGGUUCGAGUCCAGUUAGCCCGACCA
Molecule: transfer RNA, 77 nt
Filed under: Pseudobdellovibrionaceae bacterium
Lineage: Bacteria; Pseudomonadati; Bdellovibrionota; Bdellovibrionia; Bdellovibrionales; Pseudobdellovibrionaceae
Description: Bdellovibrionaceae bacterium tRNA-Pro
Rfam family: tRNA
About the family: Transfer RNA (tRNA) molecules are approximately 80 nucleotides in length. Their secondary structure includes four short double-helical elements and three loops (D, anti-codon, and T loops). Further hydrogen bonds mediate the characteristic L-shaped molecular structure. tRNAs have two regions of fundamental functional importance: the anti-codon, which is responsible for specific mRNA codon recognition, and the 3' end, to which the tRNAs corresponding amino acid is attached (by aminoacyl-tRNA synthetases). tRNAs cope with the degeneracy of the genetic code in two manners: having more than one tRNA (with a specific anti-codon) for a particular amino acid; and 'wobble' base-pairing, i.e. permitting non-standard base-pairing at the 3rd anti-codon position.
Source: RNAcentral